Molecule: ribosomal RNA, 253 nt
Filed under: uncultured bacterium
Lineage: Bacteria
Description: partial 16S ribosomal RNA
Rfam family: Bacterial small subunit ribosomal RNA
Source: RNAcentral
UACGUAGGGUGCGAGCGUUGUCCGGAAUUACUGGGCGGAAAGCGCGCGUAGGCGGCUUUGCAAGUCGGGUGUGAAAUCCCCAGGCUUAACCUGGGAACUGCAUUCGAGACUGCAUUGCUAGAGUAUGGGAGAGGGAAGUGGAAUUUCCGGUGUAGCGGUGAAAUGCGUAGAUAUCGGAAGGAACAUCAGUGGCGAAAGCGACUUCCUGGACCAAUACUGACGCUCAUGUGCGAAAGCGUGGGGAGCAAACAGG